UCUCCCUCAUCAUACCAUACACAUGACCUUCUUCUUCUCUUUUUUCUUACAUACAACCUCUGUUCCGAUUGUGUGUCUAUUUGAGGACCGAGUUCAGCAAGUUGUGUUUUAAUCUUCGUAGCAACCUACAAAUCUAGAACAUGAAGGUGUCUUUGUGUGGGAGCAACUUCAAGAUACCAUGGCGAUUAUUUUUCUCGUAUUGUUUAAAUUGGUGGUCUCGGAAUUUUAUACAUAUAAGGUAAAUAUAAUUGGUUUCUUUUAAGGCUCAUCUUAUUCCCACAAUAUAAAUGGCUAUGAAAAAAAAACAAAGGUUAUGAUGAAACAUACGUUAUAGAGAAGUACCUUUAUGAUAAGGGUUACUGCUAUUAUUCAGACGAAUUAUGGGCACGAAAGUACAGAAUUCGUCUUAGGGGCAUAGACACACCUGAGAUGGAACAAGAGUAUGGACAUGAAGCUCAGGAAGUUCUACUAGAGUUAAUUGUUGGCGAUAUGGAGUUGAAGAUUGAUGUCUACAAAAUUGAUCGACACAAUCGUUGUAUUGCAGACGUCUACUGCAACGACGUGUUAGUUCAGGAAAUGGUAUUGAGUUUGGGAGCAGCGUGGUAUGCUCCUCAUUUUGGCGAGAACGCUGUUUUUGAAGAGCGCCACAGGAUUGCCAAAGCUAGUAGAGUUGGUUUGUAGGAAAAUCUCAAUGCUAUACCGCCAUGGGUGUGGAAAGAAAAGAACAAGUAAUCAGUCUAUUAAUAAAGGUAUGUGUUUGUCAGACAGGGAAGUAAGGAGCCAUAUGGCAUAUUUUUGUAGUUGGAGCUACGAAAAAGAGAGAGAAUUAGAAGUUUUUCUUGGUACACUUGUUACUUAUUGAUAUGAACCAGUUUUAUUUUCUUUA
Molecule: long non-coding RNA, 886 nt
Organism: Helianthus annuus (common sunflower)
Lineage: Eukaryota; Viridiplantae; Streptophyta; Magnoliopsida; Asterales; Asteraceae
Exons: 2
Source: RefSeq, a predicted model, not a curated record